GAAAAAAAAAGGUCCCUUGCUGAAAUAAUAGACAUAGAACAAAAAAAAAGUGUUUAUAAAGGUUUGGUCCUGUCAUGACGCACUCUGUCUCCUUUGGGUCCAGGAAUACCAGCAGCUCCUCUUUCUCCAGGCAUUCCCUGCAGGCCCUGGGGUCCUUGAGCUCCGCGAGAACCAGCGGGGCCAAUUGCUCCCUAAAGAGUUUGGAGGCAGUAGGAAAGUGGCAGCAGCAGAAGGUGAGCUUACUGAUGGUCCAACUUUGCCUUGUGGUCCAGCAUCACCUGGGCGACCAGUCAGACCCUGCCAGAGAGCAAGAGCAAGAACAGUGCAGAUGAAAUGCAGAUGAGUCAGCUCAAUGAAGACAUGCGCUGAAGAGAUGUGGGAAAAUAGAACGUAUGACAUGGUUGGAAAAAAAUGCAUUAUUACUUUUACUGGUUUAUUGUCUUAGAAGCAGCAGUUUAAUGCCAUCAGCUGAUGUCUUAUUGCACAAGGAGCAAGGGAAACAAAUUCAUAAAGAUUGAAAAAUAUACAAAUUGAUGAAUAUUGUGGCUGUUAACUGAAAACGUGAUUGAACUUUGAUGACGUUCCUAAAUAAAGAAAGCACAAAACUUU
This is a non-coding RNA of Oryzias latipes (Japanese medaka), 609 nucleotides long. The record is from RefSeq and is a predicted model, not a curated record. NCBI's taxonomy places the organism in Eukaryota, Metazoa, Chordata, Actinopteri, Beloniformes, Adrianichthyidae.